GCUUUCUACUGCCCUCUGCCUUGUCAGAGCAACAGCUUCAGCCCCCCGUCUGUGUAUUACAGGCUCCAUAAAGCAGGCUUGAUGACAUAGUUAUGUUAGCUUGCUGACACGUAAAGACAGCCGACCCUGGGAUUAAUCAGCUCGGAGCUGGGCUCUCUGGGCACAAUGGCUGUCCUGAGUAACAUUUGACGGCACGUCUGCCUUGGGUAUUACACGGACAAAAGCCAUUUCUGUUCCUGAGAGAGUUUUCCAUCCUGCACUUACGAAUUUUUAUGGGUUUGUGGUGACAUUUCCAUUUUAAUUUGCUAAUUAUUAUUGGUGAAAUUGAGAGGCAACUCCAGAUUUAUUACAUUUCACAGUCUGUUGUGUUCCAUGUAUAGCUGUGAAUCUUAACAGCCAGGAGGGCAACCUGCCCAGCACAGUGAACAUUAACCCGCUCAGCACUGGGGGAGCGCCGGCUGCCAGGUGGGGCCUUGCUCCUGCAGCCCUGGACACAUGCAGGGGGCAAGUGAGCAGCUGCUGGCAUUCACCUCCAUCCUCCGCCUGGGGCCAGACAGCAUCUUGGAGGACCAGCCACAAUGCAGAGAGAGCCCCAGGCCUCUGGCUGUUCUUGCCCUGCGGAGCCCUCUCCCCAUCCCCAGCCUGAUCUUCCUCCAUCCCUUGCAGGCAUUACUGGCUCCCUGGAAGCUCAACACAGACAACACAAGGCUGGACACAAUUCUCUGCAACACACAACAUACACCCAGGAGAGCGUUUCCCAGGGCUCUGCUGUGACUGGUGUUUACAACCGGCCCCAAGCAGCUGCCGCCCUGCAGGUGUAUGAGCAAACGUGGGAGCAGAUGCCUUGGGAGUGAGAUCUGCUGCGGGGACCCGGCUAGGGCAUCUCCCCUGCGUCCUACCUGCGGACGCCAGAGCCAGUGCCCAGUGGGCCCCUACACAGCUGAGUUGCAGGCUCUGCGGACUCCCAGACUUCCAUGUGACAUGUUACCUGGAGCCAACGCCUGCUCUCCCAAGUCCCCCUGGAAGCUGUUAGACCACGUGCAGGAGAGAGAAAAUAAAAGUAGGGGGUUAUGUGUCUUCCCAGCUCAGCUUCCUCCUGUUUCUAGAUUGGAUGUACAGCUUACCUUUAUUCCACAAGGUACAUGAAAUCCAGCAUGAAGAGGUUGGAUAUGAAAAGAAGGAGCAACCCAAUCAGGGGAAUAAUUAGUCAAGAACAUUACAUGAUCUUUGUGCUCAAAUGAUACCAUUAAUUGCAUGUGAUUUUUAUGUGUUUAUUAAAGCAGGUUUUCUCAGCUCGACAAAGAUAGAGCAAUUGGUUACAAGGAAACUUCUGAAGUGAUCUUUAGUGGAAAGCCUUUGCUCUCCUAGAUUAUUUUCCGACAGCAAGCCCAAAUUAAUGAGGUUUUACUGUAUUCAAACUCGGAGGUUUAGGUUGGUUGGUUCUUCUAUUUUUCUUCCUUAAACCUCCUAAAAUGAAGUCUUUGCAAAAAAUGAGCUCUUCAGAAGUAGCAGAAAGAGGAAAGAUUACUCACCUGGUAAAUAAUGUAUGUGGAGAUUGUGCCAGAUAAAAGUAUGCCACACAACAUUUGAGUGUAGCAGAGCUUGGGCCAAAACCAUGUGCUGAAGUCCUAACCGCCAGGAUCUUAGAACGUGACUGUAUUGGCAGAGAAGACUUUUAAAGAGGUAAUUAAUGUAAAUGAGGUCAUUAGGGUGGGGUCCUUAUAAGAAUAGGGGAUUUGGACACACACACACACACACACACAGGACCCAACGAAAAGCCUGCCAUCUGCAAACCAAAGAGAGAGUCUUCAGAGGAAGCCAACCCUGCCAACACCUUGAUCCCAGACUUCCUGGAUCCAGAGCUGUGAGAGAAUAAAUGUCUGUUGUAUAAGGUACCAGUCUGUGGUGCUUUGUUCUGCAGUGUGUGCUGAUUGAGGCGUGGAGGGAACCAUUGCUGGGAGAGACCCUGGUAGAGGAGCAACAGGGGCUCAGACACCCUUACAUGCCCUUUUUGAAGUAGCUUUAUGCACAGUUUCCAGUCUAGAAAUGAUACACCAGUACAUCAAGUUACGUGACAUGCAUUUUUGUGAAGACAUCUUGAGAGGUGGUAGGUGGGGGGUGAACAGGCAUAGGUCAUAAGUCAAAGGGAGCUUGCAGUAUAAGAGCAAAUCCUACAAAAAACAGGGAUGUUCUGAGAGGGACUCUAACUCUGCCCAGAGGAAAAUGCUCUUGGGGUACUAGCUCCUGGGCUAUUAUCCCCAUUCCCUCUGAAAACAUUGUUUGAGGGGUUGAUGUGAAAUUUCUUUUACUAAAACCAAAGAAAACUAUGACCUAAUAUGAACACUGGUUAAUUCUGGGUGGUAGAUACUGGUGUUUGGCAUAUGGCUUCUGAGCUUUUCUAUUUUUUAGAUCUUUAGCUUUUUAUUUCAGAAAACUUCAAACAUAAGCCCUGAUGUGCCAUCACCAACUACAAGAAUCAUCUACCUGUAGGGCCAGUCCUGUUUCUUCCACACUCCCAUCCACUCCUGCCUCCUUCCUGGGGUCAUUUCUUCAAUGAAUCCGAGACAUUGUAUCAUUUCCUCCCUCAGUAUUGGGGUGUCUGUCUCUAAAGGUGAUGACCUUUUCUUAAAACGUAGCUGUGAGAAGGGCACCCUCACACGAACAUUGUAACCAUAAUUUCUUAGUCUCUAAGGAUCCUAGCCAGUGGUGAGUUUUUCUCCUCUGGGAACAAGGUUUGAUUAUCCCCUCCUCUCACCUGCACAGGUGUCAGCCCUGCACUGCUCUCUCACCUUGACAGGGGAAGGGCAGAUACCCUCCCUGUCCCCAGAGCAUGAGGACUGUCACUAUUCUAAGGGUGCAAAGCAAUCUCUGAUGGUCUAACACCGCAUGACGACUGCCCAUCAUAAAACAUCAUCUGUUUUAUCCCCAACUUGGCUACAAGCACCUAUUUCAGGAUCUUGUAAGAUCUUGUCUCCUGAGUGGAUCAUCUCAGCUGCCACUUACCCAGGCUGCACGUCUGAACCACAUGGGGAGCUUUAAAAACGCUGACAGCCAUGUUCCACCACAAGACCCUGCUGCCAGUGGUCCUGGGGGAACUUGGUGCAGGUGAUUCUGAUGGGUGUGAGAUCAAGAAUGGCAUGCUCCUGGCUUUCAACCACCCUGGCUCAUGGCUCUGGGCACGAACUUGACUCCUCUGUCCGCACACAUGUCUGUGUUAUGUCUGUGCAAAUAUAGGAUGAAACGUGCUAUAAUUUUAAAACAUACUUUCGUGUAACCUAUGUUUGUAAAGCAAACGUAGUCCAGUUCCUUUGAAGAAAAUAAAAUGCAAUGCUUUAUUAUAAAACAGCUACUAUGGGGGCCCCUGGGUGGUUCAGUGUGGUUGAGCGUCUGCCUUUGGCUCAGGGAGUGAUCCCGGGGUCCUAGGAUCAAGUCCCACGUCAGGCUCCCCACAGGGAGUCUGCUUCUCUCUCUGCCUGUGUCUCUGCCUCUAUGUGUUUCUCAUGAAUAAAUAAAUAAAUAAAUAAAAUCUAUCUAUCUAUCUAUAGCUAUAGCUACUACCAAGCAUAGAUACAAAACUCAAUGUACUUGAAGUUA
This 3594-nucleotide long non-coding RNA is filed under the name Canis lupus familiaris (dog). Its description in RNAcentral is "lncRNA (ENSCAFG00040008210.1)". Lineage: Eukaryota; Metazoa; Chordata; Mammalia; Carnivora; Canidae. The record is from RNAcentral.